UCAGCGGCGGAGUGGAUAACGCGAUGGCGUUUAAAGCGAAAAGUACUGGGUUCGAGUCCCAAAGUGA
This 67-nucleotide transfer RNA is filed under the name Schistosoma mansoni. Lineage: Eukaryota; Metazoa; Platyhelminthes; Trematoda; Strigeidida; Schistosomatidae. The record is from RNAcentral.